UACGUAGGGUGCAAGCGUUGUCCGGAAUUAUUGGGCGUAAAGAGCUCGUAGGCGGUCUGUCACGUCGGCUGUGAAAUCCCGAGGCUCAACCUCGGGUCUGCAGUCGAUACGGGCAAACUAGAGUAUUGCAGGGGAGACUGGAAUUCCUGGUGUAGCGGUGAAAUGCGCAGAUAUCAGGAGGAACACCGGUGGCGAAGGCGGGUGUCUGG
This 209-nucleotide ribosomal RNA is filed under the name uncultured bacterium. RNAcentral describes it as "partial 16S ribosomal RNA". It matches the Rfam family "Bacterial small subunit ribosomal RNA", at positions 524 to 732 of the family's 1533-position model. The record is from RNAcentral.